Molecule: ribosomal RNA, 567 nt
Filed under: uncultured bacterium
Lineage: Bacteria
Description: partial 16S ribosomal RNA
Rfam family: Bacterial small subunit ribosomal RNA
Source: RNAcentral
UGGGGAAUUUUGGACAAUGGGCGAAAGCCUGAUCCAGCAAUGCCGCGUGUGUGAAGAAGGCCUUCGGGUUGUAAAGCACUUUUGUCCGGAAAGAAAUCCUUGGCUCUAAUACAGUCGGGGGAUGACGGUACCGGAAGAAUAAGCACCGGCUAACUACGUGCCAGCAGCCGCGGUAAUACGUAGGGUGCAAGCGUUAAUCGGAAUUACUGGGCGUAAAGCGUGCGCAGGCGGUUUGCUAAGACCGAUGUGAAAUCCCCGGGCUCAACCUGGGAACUGCAUUGGUGACUGGCAGGCUAGAGUAUGGCAGAGGGGGGUAGAAUUCCACGUGUAGCAGUGAAAUGCGUAGAGAUGUGGAGGAAUACCGAUGGCGAAGGCAGCCCCCUGGGCCAAUACUGACGCUCAUGCACGAAAGCGUGGGGAGCAAACAGGAUUAGAUACCCUGGUAGUCCACGCCCUAAACGAUGUCAACUAGUUGUUGGGGAUUCAUUUCCUUAGUAACGUAGCUAACGCGUGAAGUUGACCGCCUGGGGAGUACGGUCGCAAGAUUAAAACUCAAAUGAAUUGACA